Molecule: ribosomal RNA, 526 nt
Filed under: uncultured bacterium
Lineage: Bacteria
Description: bacterial SSU rRNA
Rfam family: Bacterial small subunit ribosomal RNA
Source: RNAcentral
AAUAGAUAUCCUGGUAGUCCACGCCGUAAACGAUGGAUGCUAGCUGUUAUAGGUAUCGACCCCUGUAGUAGCGAAGCUAACGCGUUAAGCAUCCCGCCUGUGGAGUACGAGCGCAAGCUUAAAACAUAAAGGAAUUGACGGGGACCCGCACAAGCGGUGGAGCGUGUUGUUUAAUUCGAUGAUAAGCGAAGAACCUUACCCAGGCUUGACAUCCCUGGAAGGUCUCCGAAAGGAGACUGUGCCUUCGGGAAUCAGGUGACAGGUGCUGCAUGGCCGUCGUCAGCUCGUGUCGUGAGAUGUUUGGUUAAGUCCAUCAACGAGCGCAACCCUUAUAGUUAGUUGGAUUUCUCUAGCUAGACUGCCCUGGCAACAGGGAGGAAGGAGGGGAUGAUGUCAGGUCAGUAUUGCCCUUACGCCUGGGGCUACAAACACGCUACAAUGGCCGGUACAAAGGGCUGCCAACCCGCAAGGGGAGCAAAUCCCAUCAAAGCCGGUCUCAGUUCGGAUAGCAGGCUGAAACUCGCCU